This 438-nucleotide long non-coding RNA is filed under the name Ursus maritimus (polar bear). RNAcentral's name for it is "lncRNA (ENSUMAG00000001798.1)". The record is from RNAcentral. Lineage: Eukaryota; Metazoa; Chordata; Mammalia; Carnivora; Ursidae.
AUGGCACUUGGCAGUGGGCACGUGGCUCUGCCUUGGGCUUCAGGACAGGAGAGCGUACCCAGAGCAGCACUAGUGUCCUCGGUGCACACAGUGCCAGCUGGACGGGUUCCACGGAGAGCAGCCACAAUGGUGCUGAAACCCACUGAAUUUCUAAGCCCAUCCUGGUGCCUGGCAGGAAGAAUGGAGCUCACAGAGGAGUCUAAAAUUUGUCUUGCUGCCACAGAGCCAAGUACCUGCCUCUGUUUCCCUGCUGGACGUUUCAUCCUCCUGAAAGUGAGCUUCUCCGAAGCUGGACUUGCUUGGGCAUCAUUUUGAAGUGGAAGAGCGAGGUUGAAGAAGGAAUCUCUUGGACAAAGGAGAGUCUUAGGUCACCCUGAAGAUCGCUCCAGAAAGCACGUUGAGGCUCUGCGGGGAGUUUAUAGGUUAGCUUGACAAGUG